This 628-nucleotide ribosomal RNA is filed under the name uncultured bacterium. RNAcentral's name for it is "bacterial SSU rRNA". It matches the Rfam family "Bacterial small subunit ribosomal RNA", at positions 338 to 1533 of the family's 1533-position model. The record is from RNAcentral.
CCUACGGGAGGCAGCAGUGAGGAAUAUUGGACAAUGGGCGCAAGCCUGAUCCAGCCAUGCCGCGUGCAGGAAGAAGCAUCUAUGGUGUGUAAAUUGCUUUUGUACAGGAAGAAACACUCCCUCGUGAGGGAGCUUGACGGUACUGUAAGAAUAAGGACCGGCUAACUCCGUGCCAGCAGCCGCGGUAAUACGGAGGGUCCGAGCGUUAUCCGGAAUCAUUGGGUUUAAAGGGUCCGUAGGCGGUUUAAUAAGUCAGUGGUGAAAUCUGGUCGCUCAACGAUCAAACGGCCAUUGAUACUGUUAGACUUGAAUUAUAAAGAAGUAACUAGAAUACGUAGUGUAGCGGUGAAAUGCUUAGAUAUUACAUGGAAUACCAAUUGCGAAGGCAGGUUACUACUUAUGGAUUGACGCUGAUGGACGAAAGCGUGGGGAGCGAACAGGAUUAGAUACCCUGGUAGUCCACGCCGUAAACGAUGGAUACUAGCUGUUCGGAGCAAUCUGAGUGGCUAAGCGAAAAGUGAUAAGUAUCCCACCAGGGGAGUACGUUCGCAAGAAAUGAAAACUCAAAAAGUAGUAAGUUAGGACGGCGUGAGAGACGACGACGGACGACGACGGAGGGAGGGAGGAG